CCUACGGGAGGCAGCAGUGAGGAAUAUUGGUCAAUGGACGGAAGUCUGAACCAGCCAUGCCGCGUGCAGGAAGACGGCUCUAUGAGUUGUAAACUGCUUUUGUACAGGGGUAAACCUGAAUACGUGUAUUCAUCUGCCAGUACUGUACGAAUAAGGAUCGGCUAACUCCGUGCCAGCAGCCGCGGUAAUACGGAGGAUCCAAGCGUUAUCCGGAUUUAUUGGGUUUAAAGGGUGCGUAGGCGGAUUGAUAAGUUAGAGGUGAAAUGUCAGAGCUUAACUCGGGAACUGCCUCUAAUACUGUUGAUCUAGAGAGUAGAUGAGGUAGGCGGAAUGUAUGGUGUAGCGGUGAAAUGCUUAGAGAUCAUACAGAACACCGAUUGCGAAGGCAGCUUACCAAUCUAUAUCUGACGUUGAGGCACGAAAGCGUGGGGAGCAAACAGGAUUAGAUACCCCAGUAGUC
This 460-nucleotide ribosomal RNA is filed under the name uncultured bacterium. RNAcentral's name for it is "partial 16S ribosomal RNA". It matches the Rfam family "Bacterial small subunit ribosomal RNA", at positions 338 to 795 of the family's 1533-position model. The record is from RNAcentral.